This 206-nucleotide long non-coding RNA is filed under the name Elaeis guineensis (African oil palm). RNAcentral's name for it is "long non-coding RNA (EGUI_LNC029765)". The record is from RNAcentral. Lineage: Eukaryota; Viridiplantae; Streptophyta; Magnoliopsida; Arecales; Arecaceae.
GUGGUGUCUAAUGUUGGGCAGGCAUGCGGGCGUGCGGAAGACUAUGGUGACUGCCGAUCUGAUGGAACUCGAUGACGGGAGGCAUAUAGCAGCACGGGGCCACUGAUCCGAUCGAUUUGACAUCGGAGAUGCGUGCGGAUGUGAGGAGGGGAGCCGGAGACACCAGGGCCACUGAUCCAGCAGAGUCCGAUGUUGGGAGGCCUCGG